UGCCUAGGAAAUUGCCCUGAUGUGGGGGAUAACCAUUGGAAACGAUGGUUAAUACCGCAUAAUGCUUACGGGCCAAAGAGGGGGACCUUCGGGCCUCUCGCGUCAGGAUAUGCCUAGGUGGGAUUAGCUAGUUGGUGAGGUAAGGGCUCACCAAGGCGACGAUCCCUAGCUGGUCUGAGAGGAUGAUCAGCCACACUGGAACUGAGACACGGUCCAGACUCCUACGGGAGGCAGCAGUGGGGAAUAUUGCACAAUGGGCGCAAGCCUGAUGCAGCCAUGCCGCGUGUGUGAAGAAGGCCUUCGGGUUGUAAAGCACUUUCAGUCGUGAGGAAGGUAGUGUAGUUAAUAGCUGCAUUAUUUGACGUUAGCGACAGAAGAAGCACCGGCUAAUUCCGUG
RNAcentral lists this ribosomal RNA (397 nucleotides) under uncultured Gammaproteobacteria bacterium. RNAcentral's name for it is "bacterial SSU rRNA". It matches the Rfam family "Bacterial small subunit ribosomal RNA", at positions 114 to 507 of the family's 1533-position model. Lineage: Bacteria; Pseudomonadati; Pseudomonadota; Gammaproteobacteria. The record is from RNAcentral.